Acanthosepion pharaonis is the source of this 94-nucleotide non-coding RNA. Lineage: Eukaryota; Metazoa; Mollusca; Cephalopoda; Sepiida; Sepiidae. The record is from the annotation of a GenBank genome assembly.
AUCACACCAGUUCUCAUCCAAUCACCAAAGUUAAGCAACAACAAGCCUGGUCAGUACCUAGAUGGGUGACCACUUGGGAAUACCAGGUGCUAUC